Molecule: non-coding RNA, 76 nt
Organism: Triticum urartu
Lineage: Eukaryota; Viridiplantae; Streptophyta; Magnoliopsida; Poales; Poaceae
Source: Rfam
ACCUUUCAGGUUGCAGCUUGAUUAAUCCUUUGGGGUGAUUCAGGCUGAUGGCUGGUGACUUUUUGGUCACCAGCCU